CCUACGGGAGGCAGCAGUAAGGAAUAUUGGUCAAUGGACGCAAGUCUGAACCAGCCAUGCCGCGUGAAGGAUUAAGGUCCUCUGGAUUGUAAACUUCUUUUAUUUGGGACGAAAAAGGGUCUUUCUAGAUCAACUGACGGUACCAGAUGAAUAAGCACCGGCUAACUCCGUGCCAGCAGCCGCGGUAAUACGGAGGGUGCAAGCGUUAUCCGGAUUCACUGGGUUUAAAGGGUGCGUAGGCGGGAAGGUAAGUCAGUGGUGAAAUCCUAGAGCUUAACUCUAGAACUGCCAUUGAUACUAUUUUUCUUGAAUAUUGUGGAGGUAAGCGGAAUAUGUCAUGUAGCGGUGAAAUGCUUAGAUAUGACAUAGAACACCUAUUGCGAAGGCAGCUUACUACGCAUAUAUUGACGCUGAGGCACGAAAGCGUGGGGAUCAAACAGGAUUAGAUACCCUGGUAGUCCACGCCCUAAACUAUGAUUACUCGACAUUUGUGAUACACAAUAAGUGUCUGAGCGAAAGCAUUAAGUAAUCCACCUGGGAAGUACGUCCGCAAGGAUGAAACUCAAAGGAAUUGACGG
This 578-nucleotide ribosomal RNA is filed under the name uncultured bacterium. Its description in RNAcentral is "bacterial SSU rRNA". It matches the Rfam family "Bacterial small subunit ribosomal RNA", at positions 338 to 916 of the family's 1533-position model. The record is from RNAcentral.